This 467-nucleotide ribosomal RNA is filed under the name uncultured bacterium. RNAcentral describes it as "partial 16S ribosomal RNA". It matches the Rfam family "Bacterial small subunit ribosomal RNA", at positions 29 to 507 of the family's 1533-position model. The record is from RNAcentral.
ACGAACGCUGGCGGCGUGCUUAACACCUGCAAGUCGAACGGAAAGGCCCUGCUUUUGUGGGGUGCUCGAGUGGCGAACGGGUGAUUAACACGUGAGUAACCUGCCCUUGACUUUGGGAUAACUUCAGGAAACUGGGGCUAAUACCGGAUAGGAGCUCCUGCUGCAUGGUGGGGGUUGGAAAGUUUCGGCGGUUGGGGAUGGACUCGCGGCUUAUCAGCUUGUUGGUGGGGUAGUGGCUUACCAAGGCUUUGACGGGUAGCCGGCCUGAGAGGGUGACCGGCCACAUUGGGACUGAGAUACGGCCCAGACUCCUACGGGAGGCAGCAGUGGGGAAUAUUGCACAAUGGGCGGAAGCCUGAUGCAGCAACGCCGCGUGCGGGAUGACGGCCUUCGGGUUGUAAACCGCUUUCGCCUGUGACGAAGCGUGAGUGACGGUAAUGGGUAAAGAAGCACCGGCUAACUACGUG